UUUCCAAAAUAUCAGUCCCCUUUUUUUUUUCCGAUUCUUUUCCCAAAAGACGUUCCUUUUUUCAUCGAAGGUAAAACCGAAGUCCUUUUAUGUACUGUCGCCGAAAUUUUCUCCCUCUUCAAUAAACGGCGAAGAUUCGAUCAGAAGAACAGGGGACGACUAACUGCAAGGUAAGAAAGAACUAUAUCUUCAGAUUCUAAUAGUAGCAUCAUCAAGGGCGGAGUAGUCGAACGGUUUCAUCGCCAAUUCACCUUACAAAAACGGCGGCGUUUUCACCGGAUUUCAUUCUCUAUAGUUAGAUUCAGCUCUCGAAAUUUCCUCUAUUGCAUCGGAACCCUAGAUUGCUUUAUCAGUUCUGGAGUUAACUCAGGCCUCAGCUUUUAGUGGCAGAUUGCUUCUAGCAUUCUACUAUUUUGGUACUCCACUUCAUCGUGUAUCUGGAUUGUACCCAGCCUGAAUAUUAGCUUAUCUCUGUGAGCGGUCUCACGGAAUAUAUUGGCUAGGUUCGUCUGGCUUAAUGUUGAAGUGUUAAUGAGUAGCACAGGCAGUAUUGUGUUUGAAGGUGAUCAAGGCAAGUCAUUGCAAUCGCUGUUGUUGGGUUAUAAGACUUGUCAAUCUGUAUAAAAGUCGACUUAUUGGAUCUGGUGCAUUUCAGGAAUUUAUUUCGUUGAAGUUAUUCUCAGGGAAGUUCUUCCCAUGAGGUAGCUGGAGCUAUAAAAUAUCUUGUGGUUCACAAGCAAAAUGCUAUAUAAUUGGAAGAAGCCUCACAUUAUUUUCUCUGCAGUGCUUGAGGUUGUUUAUGUUGCAAUAUAACUAGCAAUUAUGGAACAACUAUCAGAGAAAAAGUUCCCUGUCAAUGCGAAAGAUUAUAAGUUAUAUGAAGAAGUUGGAGACGGUGUUAGUGCAACUGUGUAUCGGGCUCUGUGCAUUCCUCUUAAUGAGAUUGUUGCAAUCAAGGUUCUGGAUUUGGAAAA
Molecule: non-coding RNA, 974 nt
Organism: Nicotiana tabacum (common tobacco)
Lineage: Eukaryota; Viridiplantae; Streptophyta; Magnoliopsida; Solanales; Solanaceae
Source: RefSeq, a predicted model, not a curated record